UUAGGUUAAGCUACUAAGAGCACACGGUGGAUGCCUAGGCGCUAGGAGCCGAUGAAGGACGUGGCGAACACCGAUAUAGCUUCGGGGAGCUGUAAGCAAGCUGUGAUCCGGGGAUGUCCGAAUGGGGAAACCUAACUGGAUUCAUCUCCAGUUACUCACACCUGAAUACAUAGGGUGUGCAGAGGCAGACGAGGGGAACUGAAACAUCUAAGUACCCUCAGGAAAAGAAAACAAGAGUGAUUCCGUCAGUAGCGGCGAGCGAACGCGGAACAGCCCAAACCAAGAAGCUUGCUUUUUGGGGUUGUGGGACGUCUCUUUGGAGUUACAAAGGAGUAUCGUAGUUGAAGAGGUCUGGAAAGGCCCGCGAAACAAGGUGAAAGCCCUGUAGAUGAAAUGAUGCUCUCUCCGAGACGGAUCCCGAGUAGUGCGGGGCACGUGAAACCCCGUAUGAAUCUGCCAGGACCAUCUGGUAAGGCUAAAUACUCCCUAGCGACCGAUAGUGAAGCAGUACCGUGAGGGAAAGGU
RNAcentral lists this ribosomal RNA (525 nucleotides) under Bacillus sp. BB081. RNAcentral's name for it is "partial 23S ribosomal RNA". It matches the Rfam family "Bacterial large subunit ribosomal RNA", at positions 1 to 515 of the family's 2925-position model. The record is from RNAcentral. Lineage: Bacteria; Bacillati; Bacillota; Bacilli; Caryophanales; Bacillaceae.